Molecule: small nuclear RNA, 98 nt
Organism: Ipomoea triloba (trilobed morning glory)
Lineage: Eukaryota; Viridiplantae; Streptophyta; Magnoliopsida; Solanales; Convolvulaceae
Source: RefSeq, a predicted model, not a curated record
UUCAUUAGGACUUUCAAUAAAAUUAGAACGAUACAGAGAAAAUUAGUAUCGCAUAUCCAUAAGAAUGACACAAAAAUCAAGAAAUAUAUCCAUUAUUG